ACGCUCGACACCUACGGGAGGCAGCAGUCGGGAAUAUUGCGCAAUGGAGGAAACUCUGACGCAGUGACGCCGCGUGCAGGAAGAGGGUUUUCGGAUUGUAAACUGCUUUAGACAGGGAAGAACAAAUGACAGUACCUGUAGAAUAAGCUCCGGCUAACUACGUGUCAGCAGCCGCGGUAAUCUGAGCGGGCUGGCAAGGC
RNAcentral lists this ribosomal RNA (200 nucleotides) under uncultured bacterium. RNAcentral's name for it is "partial 16S ribosomal RNA". It matches the Rfam family "Bacterial small subunit ribosomal RNA", at positions 328 to 539 of the family's 1533-position model. The record is from RNAcentral.